UACGUAGGGUGCAAGCGUUGUCCGGAAUUAUUGGGCGUAAAGGGCUCGUAGGCGGUUUGUCGCGUCGGGAGUGAAAACUCAGGGCUUAACCCUGAGCCUGCUUCCGAUACGGGCAGACUAGAGGUAUGCAGGGGAGAAUGGAAUUCCUGGUGUAGCGGUGAAAUGCGCAGAUAUCAGGAGGAACACCGGUGGCGAAGGCGGUUCUCUGGGCAUUACCUGACGCUGAGGAGCGAAAGCUAGGGUAGCAAACGGG
This 253-nucleotide ribosomal RNA is filed under the name uncultured bacterium. RNAcentral describes it as "partial 16S ribosomal RNA". It matches the Rfam family "Bacterial small subunit ribosomal RNA", at positions 524 to 776 of the family's 1533-position model. The record is from RNAcentral.